This 75-nucleotide transfer RNA is filed under the name Gammaproteobacteria bacterium. RNAcentral's name for it is "tRNA-Gln". It matches the Rfam family "tRNA". From Rfam's summary of the family: Transfer RNA (tRNA) molecules are approximately 80 nucleotides in length. Their secondary structure includes four short double-helical elements and three loops (D, anti-codon, and T loops). Lineage: Bacteria; Pseudomonadati; Pseudomonadota; Gammaproteobacteria. RNAcentral also lists the same sequence under 2 other names. The record is from RNAcentral.
UUGGGGGUGGUGCAACUGGCAACACGCCGGACUCUGACUCCGGAGAUCCAGGUUCGAUUCCUGGCCCCCGAGCCA